This is a long non-coding RNA of Hemiscyllium ocellatum (epaulette shark), 919 nucleotides long. RefSeq lists it as uncharacterized. NCBI's taxonomy places the organism in Eukaryota, Metazoa, Chordata, Chondrichthyes, Orectolobiformes, Hemiscylliidae. The transcript is spliced from 3 exons. The record is from RefSeq and is a predicted model, not a curated record.
UCGAAUAUGCAUUUGAUAUGAAAAGUAGAGGGAAUGGCACUUUGUGUCCAGGUGACAGGGACAGGGAUAUGCAGGAGACAGGGAUCGAGUAUCCUGGCAGCAAUCAAGCACUCUGAUGGGCUGAAGGUGGAAGCAAUUAGCUGCUACACUGACCUGUGCAUGGGUAGCACAAACGGAACCCCAGAAGUAGCUGUGAACCAAGAAUCGGCUGCUCUUGCGUUCCGUUACUGCUAGCUGUAGACUCUCUGCUAGAACUUCUCUCAGCUUAAUGACUGUUUGAGGGUAAGGGGAGUCUUCUGGAAUGACACAAUCACUCCCGGUUAAGCCUAAAUAAAUAUUUACCGGGAAACUUGUGUCAGCCAAGACAGCCCCCCCACGUCUUCAGUGGUUUCCGAGAACGCAACAUGGAAUUACCAUCAGUUACACAACUAGGAAAGAGAGAAACCAUCUCCUUCAUGUCUCAGAUGAUGUGGCAUGCUCUGAUUCGAGUUGUUCUGUUAUCACCAUGGUUACAAAUAAGAAGAAACUUUCUUCUGUAGAUUUUCUUUGAAAGUACCUCUCAUCGUUUUGUACAAGAAAACAAACUGUUGCCGUUAGCUGAUGGUACAAGCACUAAGAGGAUAGAGACCUAAAGUUUUAGACAAGCACACUAGGGGCAAGUGAGAUGGAUUUUUUUGACACAGUGAUUGGCAAUGAUUGUGACCUUGCAGCUUUUGAGGACGGUGGAAGCAGAGAUAAAAAGAUUCCAAAAUCAAGUCGGAUGGGCACUUCAGUGAAAUUACAUUACAGGGACUGCCGGGAAUAGAAAUGGAGAAUGAGACUGGCUGGAUGGCUCUAUAGAGUGCCAACAUGGACAUGAUGCACCAAAUGGCCUCCUGCUGUGCUGUGAUAACUUAAUGAUCUUGGAAUAAAGGCCCAA